GAUGAACGCUGGCGGCGUGCCUAAUACAUGCAAGUCGAGCGAACAGAUGAGGAGCUUGCUCCUCUGACGUUAGCGGCGGACGGGUGAGUAACACGUGGAUAACCUACCUAUAAGACUGGUAUAACUUCGGGAAACCGGAGCUAAUACCGGAUAAUAUAUUGAACCGCAUGGUUCAAUAGUGAAAGACGGUUUUGCUGUCACUUAUAGAUGGAUCCGCGCCGCAUUAGCUAGUUGGUAAGGUAACGGCUUACCAAGGCGACGAUGCGUAGCCGACCUGAGAGGGUGAUCGGCCACACUGGAACUGAGACACGGUCCAGACUCCUACGGGAGGCAGCAGUAGGGAAUCUUCCGCAAUGGGCGAAAGCCUGACGGAGCAACGCCGCGUGAGUGAUGAAGGUCUUCGGAUCGUAAAACUCUGUUAUUAGGGAAGAACAAAUUUGUAAGUAACUAUGCACGUCUUGACGGUACCUAAUCAGAAAGCCACGGCUAACUACGUG
This 497-nucleotide ribosomal RNA is filed under the name uncultured bacterium. Its description in RNAcentral is "partial 16S ribosomal RNA". It matches the Rfam family "Bacterial small subunit ribosomal RNA", at positions 28 to 507 of the family's 1533-position model. The record is from RNAcentral.